Molecule: ribosomal RNA, 398 nt
Filed under: uncultured bacterium
Lineage: Bacteria
Description: partial 16S ribosomal RNA
Rfam family: Bacterial small subunit ribosomal RNA
Source: RNAcentral
GAAUCUUAGACAAUGGGGGAAACCCUGAUCUAGCCAUGCCGCGUGAUCGAUGACGGCCUUAGGGUUGUAAAGAUCUUUCAGCUGGGAAGAUAAUGACGGUACCAGCAGAAGAAGCCCCGGCUAACUCCGUGCCAGCCGCCGCGGUAAUACGGAGGGGGCUAGCGUUAUUCGGAUUUACUGGGCGUAAAGCGCACGUAGGCGGAUCAGAAAGUUAGGGGUGAAAUCCCGGGGCUCAACCUCGGAACUGCCUCUAAAACUCCUGGUCUUGAGGUCGAGAGAGGUGAGUGGAAUUCCGAGUGUAGAGGUGAAAUUCGUAGAUAUUCGGAGGAACACCAGUGGCGAAGGCAACCCCCUGGGCCUGUACUGACGCUCAUGCACGAAAGCGUGGGGAGCAAACA